GACGAACGCUGGCGGCGUGCUUAACACAUGCAAGUCGAACGGACAGGCCCUGCUUUUGUUGGGUGCUCGAGUGGCGAACGGGUGAGUAACACGUGAGUAACCUGCCCUUGACUGUGUGAUAACUUCAGGAAACUGGGGCUAAUACCGGGUAUGAGCUCCUGCUGCAUGGUGGUGGUUGGAAAGUUUCGGCGGUUGGGGAUGGACUCGCGGCUUAUCAGCUGGUUGGUGGGGUAGUGGCUUACCAAGGGUUUGACGGGUAGCCGGCCUGAGAGGGUGACCGGCGACAUUGGGACUGAGAUACGGCCCAGAAUCCUACGGGAGGCAGCAGUGGGGAAUAUUGCACAAUGGGCGGAAGCCUGAUGCGGCAACGCCGCGUGCGGGAUGACGGCCUUCGGGUGGUAAACAGCUUUCGAAUGUGACGAAGCGUGAGUGACGGUAAUGGGUAAGGAAGCAACGGCUAACUACGUG
Molecule: ribosomal RNA, 468 nt
Filed under: uncultured bacterium
Lineage: Bacteria
Description: partial 16S ribosomal RNA
Rfam family: Bacterial small subunit ribosomal RNA
Source: RNAcentral